Molecule: long non-coding RNA, 686 nt
Organism: Calliphora vicina (urban bluebottle blowfly)
Lineage: Eukaryota; Metazoa; Arthropoda; Insecta; Diptera; Calliphoridae
Exons: 3
Source: RefSeq, a predicted model, not a curated record
UGCACCCUAAUUCAGUAUUGUUGGUUUGAUUUGAUGACCAGUGUUAAAAUUUAAUAUGGAGAAAAUUAUACUAUUUACAAAAAGUCAUUGGAAAAAAUUGAGUAUCGCAUCAAUUCCAGUUGUGUAUGGAAUUAUCUACAUUAAAAAUGAAUAUCAAAUUUCUAGGCACAUGAGAUAUGUUUGCAAUGAGGUUAACAAGCAUUCCAUUCCAAAGCCUACUAAUGUUCUUGUAGUUUUGAAUCCUGUUGCUAAUAAGAAGAGUUGCGAAAAAAUGGUGUGCUGCUACACGUUCAAUAUACAGUGGCUCCAACGAAUAAUCGGACAAGAUUUUGUCUGAUGUAAAUGUGCUCUAAACAUCAAAAUAAUGCACAAAAAAAAUAUUUUUUUUCGCUGAUAUUUACACUCCACAUACCAAUAUACAGUGAAUGUCACUUAAAAUCGUACACCAUCGUAGUAAAAUUUUAUUCAUUAGUUUUAGAAAGUUGAUGUUUUGGAAAUAUUUUAAAAUACUAUUUUUAUAUUGUGUGUGCUAUUACAUAUCAGAAAAUAUGGUAUAAUUUUAAUUGCCCUUGUAUGGCAUCAAUCCAAGUUUUCCAAAAUUGUUAUAAAAAUAAAACAAAGUUCAAGUUUAAAUUAGAGACGAAGAUCUCUUUUUAUUGUAAAUAAAUAUUACCUCGUAGAAGGAA